RNAcentral lists this ribosomal RNA (497 nucleotides) under uncultured bacterium. RNAcentral describes it as "partial 16S ribosomal RNA". It matches the Rfam family "Bacterial small subunit ribosomal RNA", at positions 28 to 507 of the family's 1533-position model. The record is from RNAcentral.
GAUGAACGCUGACGGCGUGCCUAAUACAUGCAGGUCGAGCGAACGGACGAGAAGCUUGCUUCUCUGAUGUUAGCGGCGGACGGGUGAGUAACACGUGGAUAACCUACCUAUAAGACUGGGAUAACUUCGGGAAACCGGAGCUAAUACCGGAUAAUAUUUUGAACCGCAUGGUUCAAAAGUGAAAGACGGUCUUGCUGUCACUUAUAGAUGGAUCCGCGCUGCAUUAGCUAGUUGGUAAGGUAACGGCUUACCAAGGCAACGAUGCAUAGCCGACCUGAGAGGGUGAUCGGCCACACUGGAACUGAGACACGGUCCAGACUCCUACGGGAGGCAGCAGUAGGGAAUCUUCCGCAAUGGGCGAAAGCCUGACGGAGCAACGCCGCGUGAGUGAUGAAGGUCUUCGGAUCGUAAAACUCUGUUAUUAGGGAAGAACAUAUGUGUAAGUAACUGUGCACAUCUUGACGGUACCUAAUCAGAAAGCCACGGCUAACUACGUG